GGAUGAACGCUGGCGGCGUGCCUACUACCUGCAAGUCGAGCGAACAGAUGAGGAGCUUGCUCCUCUGACGUUAGCGGCGGACGGGUGAGUAACACGUGGAUAACCUACCUAUAAGACUGGGAUAACUUCGGGAAACCGGAGCUAAUACCGGAUAAUAUAUUGAACCGCAUGGUUCAAUAGUGAAAGACGGUUUUGCUGUCACUUAUAGAUGGAUCCGCGCCGCAUUAGCUAGUUGGUAAGGUAACGGCUUACCAAGGCAACGAUGCGUAGCCGACCUGAGAGGGUGAUCGGCCACACUGGAACUGAGACACGGUCCAGACUCCUACGGGAGGCAGCAGUAGGGAAUCUUCCGCAAUGGGCGAAAGCCUGACGGAGCAACGCCGCGUGAGUGAUGAAGGUCUUCGGAUCGUAAAACUCUGUUAUUAGGGAAGAACAAAUGUGUAAGUAACUAUGCACGUCUUGACGGUACCUAAUCAGAAAGCCACGGCUAACUACGUG
RNAcentral lists this ribosomal RNA (498 nucleotides) under uncultured bacterium. Its description in RNAcentral is "partial 16S ribosomal RNA". It matches the Rfam family "Bacterial small subunit ribosomal RNA", at positions 27 to 507 of the family's 1533-position model. The record is from RNAcentral.